AGUGAACGCUGGCGGUAGGCCUAACACAUGCAAGUCGAACGGCAGCACAGUAAGAGCUUGCUCUUACGGGUGGCGAGUGGCGGACGGGUGAGGAAUACAUCGGAAUCUACUCUUUCGCGGGGGAUAACGUAGGGAAACUUACGCUAAUACCGCAUACGACCUACGGGUGAAAGCAGGGGAUCUUCGGACCUUGCGCGAUUGAAUGAGCCGAUGUCGGAUUAGCUAGUUGGCGGGGUAAAGGCCCACCAAGGCGACGAUCCGUAGCUGGUCUGAGAGGAUGAUCGGCCACACUGGAACUGAGACACGGUCCAGACUCCUACGGGAGGCAGCAGUGGGGAAUAUUGGACAAUGGGCGCAAGCCUGAUCCAGCCAUACCGCGUGGGUGAAGAAGGCCUUCGGGUUGUAAAGCCCUUUUGUUGGGAAAGAAAAGCAGCAGGUUAAUACCCCGCUGUUCUGACGGUACCCAAAGAAUAAGCACCGGCUAACUUCGUG
Molecule: ribosomal RNA, 492 nt
Filed under: uncultured bacterium
Lineage: Bacteria
Description: partial 16S ribosomal RNA
Rfam family: Bacterial small subunit ribosomal RNA
Source: RNAcentral